RNAcentral lists this ribosomal RNA (2906 nucleotides) under Citrobacter freundii. Its description in RNAcentral is "23S ribosomal RNA". It matches the Rfam family "Bacterial large subunit ribosomal RNA". Lineage: Bacteria; Pseudomonadati; Pseudomonadota; Gammaproteobacteria; Enterobacterales; Enterobacteriaceae. The record is from RNAcentral.
GGUUAAGCGACUAAGCGUACACGGUGGAUGCCCUGGCAGUCAGAGGCGAUGAAGGACGUGCUAAUCUGCGAUAAGCGUCGGUAAGGUGAUAUGAACCGUUAUAACCGGCGAUUUCCGAAUGGGGAAACCCAGUGUGUUUCGACACACUAUCAUUACGUGAAUACAUAGCGUAAUGAAGCGAACCGGGGGAACUGAAACAUCUAAGUACCCCGAGGAAAAGAAAUCAACCGAGAUUCCCCCAGUAGCGGCGAGCGAACGGGGAGCAGCCCAGAGUCUGAAUCAGCUUGUGUGUUAGUGGAACGGUCUGGAAAGUCCGACGGUACAGGGUGAUAGUCCCGUACACCAAAAUGCACAGGUUGUGAACUCGAAGAGUAGGGCGGGACACGUGGUAUCCUGUCUGAAUAUGGGGGGACCAUCCUCCAAGGCUAAAUACUCCUGACUGACCGAUAGUGAACCAGUACCGUGAGGGAAAGGCGAAAAGAACCCCGGCGAGGGGAGUGAAAAAGAACCUGAAACCGUGUACGUACAAGCAGUGGGAGCCUCUUUAUGGGGUGACUGCGUACCUUUUGUAUAAUGGGUCAGCGACUUAUAUUCUGUAGCAAGGUUAACCGUAUAGGGGAGCCGAAGGGAAACCGAGUCUUAACUGGGCGUUAAGUUGCAGGGUAUAGACCCGAAACCCGGUGAUCUAGCCAUGGGCAGGUUGAAGGUUGGGUAACACUAACUGGAGGACCGAACCGACUAAUGUUGAAAAAUUAGCGGAUGACUUGUGGCUGGGGGUGAAAGGCCAAUCAAACCGGGAGAUAGCUGGUUCUCCCCGAAAGCUAUUUAGGUAGCGCCUCGUGAAUUCAUCUUCGGGGGUAGAGCACUGUUUCGGCUAGGGGGUCAUCCCGACUUACCAACCCGAUGCAAACUGCGAAUACCGAAGAAUGUUAUCACGGGAGACACACGGCGGGUGCUAACGUCCGUCGUGAAGAGGGAAACAACCCAGACCGCCAGCUAAGGUCCCAAAGUCAUGGUUAAGUGGGAAACGAUGUGGGAAGGCACAGACAGCCAGGAUGUUGGCUUAGAAGCAGCCAUCAUUUAAAGAAAGCGUAAUAGCUCACUGGUCGAGUCGGCCUGCGCGGAAGAUGUAACGGGGCUAAACCAUGCACCGAAGCUGCGGCAGCGACACUAUGUGUUGUUGGGUAGGGGAGCGUUCUGUAAGCCGUUGAAGGUGUAUCGUGAGGUAUGCUGGAGGUAUCAGAAGUGCGAAUGCUGACAUAAGUAACGAUAAUGCGGGUGAAAAACCCGCACGCCGGAAGACCAAGGGUUCCUGUCCAACGUUAAUCGGGGCAGGGUGAGUCGACCCCUAAGGCGAGGCCGAAAGGCGUAGUCGAUGGGAAACAGGUUAAUAUUCCUGUACUUGGUGUUACUGCGAAGGGGGGACGGAGAAGGCUAUGUUAGCCGGGCGACGGUUGUCCCGGUUUAAGCAUGUAGGCGGAGGUUCCAGGUAAAUCCGGUACCUUUUAACGCUGAGGUGUGAUGACGAGGCACUACGGUGCUGAAGUAACAAAUGCCCUGCUUCCAGGAAAAGCCUCUAAGCAUCAGGUAACACGAAAUCGUACCCCAAACCGACACAGGUGGUCAGGUAGAGAAUACCAAGGCGCUUGAGAGAACUCGGGUGAAGGAACUAGGCAAAAUGGUGCCGUAACUUCGGGAGAAGGCACGCUGAUAUGUAGGUGAAGUGAUUUACUCAUGGAGCUGAAAUCAGUCGAAGAUACCAGCUGGCUGCAACUGUUUAUUAAAAACACAGCACUGUGCAAACACGAAAGUGGACGUAUACGGUGUGACGCCUGCCCGGUGCCGGAAGGUUAAUUGAUGGGGUUAUCCGUAAGGAGAAGCUCUUGAUCGAAGCCCCGGUAAACGGCGGCCGUAACUAUAACGGUCCUAAGGUAGCGAAAUUCCUUGUCGGGUAAGUUCCGACCUGCACGAAUGGCGUAAUGAUGGCCAGGCUGUCUCCACCCGAGACUCAGUGAAAUUGAACUCGCUGUGAAGAUGCAGUGUACCCGCGGCAAGACGGAAAGACCCCGUGAACCUUUACUAUAGCUUGACACUGAACACUGGUCCUUGAUGUGUAGGAUAGGUGGGAGGCUUUGAAGUGUGGACGCCAGUCUGCAUGGAGCCAUCCUUGAAAUACCACCCUUUAAUGGCUGGUGUUCUAACGUGGACCCGUAAUCCGGGUUGCGGACAGUGUCUGGUGGGUAGUUUGACUGGGGCGGUCUCCUCCUAAAGAGUAACGGAGGAGCACGAAGGUUAGCUAAUCCUGGUCGGACAUCAGGAGGUUAGUGCAAAGGCAUAAGCUAGCUUGACUGCGAGAGUGACGGCUCGAGCAGGUGCGAAAGCAGGUCUUAGUGAUCCGGUGGUUCUGAAUGGAAGGGCCAUCGCUCAACGGAUAAAAGGUACUCCGGGGAUAACAGGCUGAUACCGCCCAAGAGUUCAUAUCGACGGCGGUGUUUGGCACCUCGAUGUCGGCUCAUCACAUCCUGGGGCUGAAGUAGGUCCCAAGGGUAUGGCUGUUCGCCAUUUAAAGUGGUACGCGAGCUGGGUUUAGAACGUCGUGAGACAGUUCGGUCCCUAUCUGCCGUGGGCGCUGGAGAAUUGAGGGGGGCUGCUCCUAGUACGAGAGGACCGGAGUGGACGCAUCACUGGUGUUCGGGUUGUCAUGCCAAUGGCAUUGCCCGGUAGCUAAAUGCGGAAGAGAUAAGUGCUGAAAGCAUCUAAGCACGAAACUUGCCCCGAGAUGAGUUCUCCCUGAGACUAUAAGUCUCCUGAAGGAACGUUGAAGACGACGACGUUGAUAGGUCGGGUGUGUAAGUGUAGCGAUACAUUGAGCUAACCGAUACUAAUGAACCGUGAGGCUUAACCUU